GCUGAAGUCUUAUCAGAGGAGUCCCCAGCCCAAGUCCACCUGGCGCCAAUUCUGAGCCUCUCUUCCCAUGAAUGAUGUCUGGAGACCUCUCGGCCUGGAACGUCUCAGUGAGCAGAGCUGGACCACGGCAUGGGAAGCAAGACACAUCCGACAUCCAGCCCAGAGAGAAGGCUGGGAGCGUCGCAGCUCAGCUCUUCCAGCAACACCGAGGAGUCAGAGUCCCUAGAAACUCAUCACCCGCCAGCUCUGUUCACGCACGUGCAAGAGCGAAAGUGUCCACCGAAGGGGACAUGUUUUACAGCAAAAUCUAGAACAGCAGGGAUGUCAGGACUUCAAAGCUUCCAUCUCCUCCUUGCCCCUCUGAUAUGGUGUCUCAGGAUUCUGGUAAGCUCAUCUCCAAAUGCCCUUGGGUUUUAUCAUUGCCCGAGAAGACAUGCCCAAACCGCCACAUCCCAGCUGGAAACAUCUUGUGUAGAAACAUCCAAAGGUGGCUUCAGCCCUGAGUUUUGUAGAUUUAAACUG
Molecule: long non-coding RNA, 522 nt
Organism: Bos taurus (domestic cattle)
Lineage: Eukaryota; Metazoa; Chordata; Mammalia; Artiodactyla; Bovidae
Source: Ensembl